UACGAAGGGGGCUAGCGUUGUUCGGAAUUACUGGGCGUAAAGGGUGCGUAGGCGGGGCUUUAAGUCAGGGGUGAAAUCCUGGAGCUCAACUCCAGAACUGCCUUUGAUACUGAGGAUCUUGAGUUCGGGAGAGGUGAGUGGAACUGCGAGUGUAGAGGUGAAAUUCGUAGAUAUUCGCAAGAACACCAGUGGCGAAGGCGGCUCACUGGCCCGAUACCGACGCUGAGGCACGAAAGCGUGGGGAGCAAACAGG
This 253-nucleotide ribosomal RNA is filed under the name uncultured bacterium. RNAcentral describes it as "partial 16S ribosomal RNA". It matches the Rfam family "Bacterial small subunit ribosomal RNA", at positions 524 to 776 of the family's 1533-position model. The record is from RNAcentral.